GUAUAAGAGACAGCAGUCGCCGCGGUAAUACGGAGGGUGCAAGCGUUAAUCGGAAUUACUGGGCGUAAAGCGCACGCAGGCGGUCUGACAAGUCAGAUGUGAAAUCCCCGGGCUUAACCUGGGAACUGCAUUUGAAACUGUCAGGCUGGAGUCUUGUAGAGGGGGGUGGAAUUCCAGGUGUAGCGGUGAAAUGCGUAGAGAUCUGGAGGAAUACCGGUGGCGAAGGCGGCCCCCUGGACAAAGACUGACGCUCAGGUGCGAAAGCGUGGGGAGCAAACAGGAUUAGAUACCCCUGUAGUCCCUGUCUCUUAUAA
RNAcentral lists this ribosomal RNA (314 nucleotides) under uncultured bacterium. RNAcentral describes it as "partial 16S ribosomal RNA". It matches the Rfam family "Bacterial small subunit ribosomal RNA", at positions 495 to 809 of the family's 1533-position model. The record is from RNAcentral.